Molecule: long non-coding RNA, 1197 nt
Filed under: Equus caballus (horse)
Lineage: Eukaryota; Metazoa; Chordata; Mammalia; Perissodactyla; Equidae
Description: lncRNA (ENSECAG00000049036.1)
Source: RNAcentral
AACCUCUCUGUGCCUUAUUUCCUAAUCUCUAAAGUGGGGAUAACAGCAGCGUCCUCUUCCUAGAGCUAUUGCGAGGACUGAGAUGGGAAGAUGUUUCAGAGCUCUCAGACUGUCAGUGCUUGCGAGAAGAAGAGAAGAAGGAGAAAUCACCUGGCUUCGGGCUUCACCCAAAGCGACAAGUGAGGUCUGUUUUCUGCACCCAACCCUUGGGGGGAAUAUCUGUCUUUUGGCAACAGGAAGGCUCAGUGGGUUCAGAACGGCAGGUGAGGGGUCAUCACUGAGUAGAGCACACCCAGCAGCGUCCAUUGGGAGAUUUCUGCACAGCCUGUCCUCAGGGAGGGUCCGAACCUUCAGCUCGUGGUGCCCAGGCUCGGGAGAACCACACAUGCUGGUGGAACUGGGAGCGGCUCAGGCCUGCCAGAGAGGACAUCAGCCUUCUUGCCCUGGAAGGUGUGCUCGGAGUGAGGAGGGUUACCUAACGGUUAAGGGUAUGGACUCUGAAGCCAGGUGGCCUGAGUUUGAAUUCCAGCUCUCCCUCCUUAUUGGCUGUGCAACUUGGGACAAACCACGUAACCUCUCUGUGCCUCAGUUUCCCUAUUUGUAAAAUGGGGUUCCUGAUGCUAGUCACCUCAUGGAGCUGCGGAGACUGAAUGAGUUAAUGCAUGGAAAGUCUACAGAUCAGGGCUUGGCAUGCAAUGAGCGUCAGCUAUAAUUUGAAAGCAGGGACUGCGUCUUGUUGACUCCAGACCCCAGUGUGAGAUUCCCAUGGCCCCACUCACGACCUGUUCAGUUGGACUGAAGAUAGGCGCAUGUCCCGUUUCUAGGUAUCCUGCCUUGAUCUUAUUCCCCAUAAAGCUUGUUUGUUAACCCAGCUGUUCUUAACCCUGGUUCUGGAUCAGAAUCACUGGGUGAGCUUUUGAAAAUGCAGAUCACAGGGCCCAACACCCCCAGCGCCCACCCCUAAUCACAGUUCUUAUUCAGCAGGUCUUGGGUGAGACCCGGGCACGUGGGUUUUGGCAACACCUCUGAAGUGACUUUAAUGUUCAACCAGGGCCGAGAAACAUUGCUCUCGAGGCAUAACUUGAUGUGAGCCUGUUGGCUUACUUUUGUAUGUACUUUUCCCAAAGAGAAAAAUUCUUUAUGAGUCUGGGAAUCUAGGCUUUUGAUUCAGAAAAUAAAACUUUGCCAAAUUAUUUU